RNAcentral lists this ribosomal RNA (465 nucleotides) under Vreelandella stevensii. RNAcentral describes it as "partial 16S ribosomal RNA". It matches the Rfam family "Bacterial small subunit ribosomal RNA", at positions 338 to 795 of the family's 1533-position model. The record is from RNAcentral. Lineage: Bacteria; Pseudomonadati; Pseudomonadota; Gammaproteobacteria; Oceanospirillales; Halomonadaceae.
CCUACGGGAGGCAGCAGUGGGGAAUAUUGGACAAUGGGGGCAACCCUGAUCCAGCCAUGCCGCGUGUGUGAAGAAGGCCCUCGGGUUGUAAAGCACUUUCAGUGAGGAAGAACGCCUGGUGGUUAAUACCCAUCAGGAAAGACAUCACUCACAGAAGAAGCACCGGCUAACUCCGUGCCAGCAGCCGCGGUAAUACGGAGGGUGCGAGCGUUAAUCGGAAUUACUGGGCGUAAAGCGCGCGUAGGUGGCUUGAUAAGCCGGUUGUGAAAGCCCCGGGCUCAACCUGGGAACGGCAUCCGGAACUGUCAAGCUAGAGUGCAGGAGAGGAAGGUAGAAUUCGCGGUGUAGCGGUGAAAUGCGUAGAGAUCGGGAGGAAUACCAGUGGCGAAGGCGGCCUUCUGGACUGACACUGACACUGAGGUGCGAAAGCGUGGGUAGCAAACAGGAUUAGAUACCCUAGUAGUC